CACCCCUUAACGCGGGUAUACCCCAGUUUAUUUUUAUUGUUGAAUCAGAUAAAGCGUUCUCUAAGCUUCAAAAUGAUACCAAGAUCGACCUCCUAGCUAUUUUCUAUCCGGAGAUAUGUUCGAGGGAACGCUACGAAGGUAUUGCAACGCCCUCUUGAGUAAAACGCUCAAACGUCAUGAAUAAUUGAAGUUCAAUUAUUGCCUUCCGGGCACUUCCGUAUACUCAUAAAGCUUCGUAAAAGAUGUUCUGGAGAAGACAAGUUAGUUAGAUGAAGGCUAGGCGUUCUAGGACUCUCUAGCUAGCUAGUAUAGCUAUGUAGCUGGAUUGCUUGGCACCUAGGAAGGAUCUUCGAAGAAAUAAAGAGGCAAAGACUGCCGUCGCUCUAAUGGUGGUGGUAAGUGUCAGAGGCCUAAGAAACGCUUGUCUAUUGGCUAGAAUGUUGUUAUGGAGUGUUUAUGAGGAUAAGUGGCACGGGAUACGUACAUCUAAAGAAACAAGAGUGGAUCUACGCCAAGCUAGCUAGCUAGAUAGCUGCUCUUUCUAAUCUAUUUCUGUUGCUAAAUUAUGUUUGUUAAGAAGUGGAGCUAUAAUAUACCUGGCUCCUCUUGAUGAUUGUAAGUACUGGGCUGAUGAAAUAGUCUUUACAAGUUGUCCUCUUUUAUUUGUUAAAAAUAAUUAACAAUAAUAGGGAAAUUCCCAGGGAAUUUCCCCUCACGUAGACAGUAAAUUUCAUUAUAAAAAUGAACGUUUGGUGAGUUUCUUCAACGUCCGCGCUUGACCUGUUUAAAGCUUUGUAGAGACCCAAAUUUUUACAGGUAGGUAGAGGAAGGGUUGAAGUUAGCACCUGUGAAAAAAAAAAUUUUUUGCCCAUGUUUUUCAUUUCUACUAAAUUGGCUUAUAGCUUAAUUUAAUUAGUGCCACGUUAAGGGGGGUUUUCCUAGGCCCUGUCACAUAAUUAUACCGUAGAACUUGGAUAGUGCAGAAUGAUG
This is a long non-coding RNA of Halichondria panicea, 990 nucleotides long. RefSeq lists it as uncharacterized. NCBI's taxonomy places the organism in Eukaryota, Metazoa, Porifera, Demospongiae, Suberitida, Halichondriidae. The transcript is spliced from 3 exons. The record is from RefSeq and is a predicted model, not a curated record.